Molecule: ribosomal RNA, 575 nt
Filed under: uncultured bacterium
Lineage: Bacteria
Description: bacterial SSU rRNA
Rfam family: Bacterial small subunit ribosomal RNA
Source: RNAcentral
ACGGGUGAGUAACACGUGGGUAACCUGCCCUGCACUCUGGGAUAACUCCGGGAAACCGGGGCUAAUACCGGAUACGACCUCCGAGGGCAUCCUCCGGGGUGGAAAGUUUUUCGGUGCAGGAUGGACCCGCGGCCUAUCAGCUUGUUGGUGGGGUAAUGGCCUACCAAGGCUUUGACGGGUAUCCGGCCUGAAAGGGCGACCGGCCACACUGGGACUGAGACACGGCCCAUACUCCUACAGGAGGCAGCACUGGGGAAUAUUGCGCAAUGGGCGAAAGCCUGAUGCUACGACUCCACGUGAGGGAUGACGGCCUUCAGGUUGUAAACCUCUUUCAACAAGGACCAAGCGCACUUGACUGUACCUGCCGAAGAAGCACCGGCUAACUACGUGCCAGCAGCCGCGGUAAUACCUAGGGUGCGAGCGUUGUCCGGAUUUAUUGGGCGUAAAGAGCUUGUAGGCGGCUCGUCACGUCGGGUGUGAAAACUCGCGGCUCAACCGCGAGCCUGCACCCGAUAAAUUCCGGGCUAAAGUUCGGCAGGGGAGACGGGUAAUUCCUGGUGUAACGGUGGAAUGCG